This 198-nucleotide microRNA precursor is filed under the name Oryza meridionalis. RNAcentral's name for it is "MIR812 microRNA precursor family". It matches the Rfam family "MIR812 microRNA precursor family". The record is from Rfam by way of RNAcentral. Lineage: Eukaryota; Viridiplantae; Streptophyta; Magnoliopsida; Poales; Poaceae.
AAUAAUCGUAACCCAAUUUUUUUUAAGAUCAUCCGUCUUAUUUUUGAAUUUUUUUUAUGAUUAGUACUUUUAUUGUACUAGAUUAUAAAACAUGAAUAAGACUUUAUACGUGACUUACGUUUUUUUAGUUUUUCUAAAAUAAAUUUAAAUAAGAUAGAUGAUUAAAGUUGAACACGGAAACUUAUGACUGCGUUUAUU